Ailuropoda melanoleuca (giant panda) is the source of this 16164-nucleotide long non-coding RNA. RefSeq lists it as uncharacterized. NCBI's taxonomy places the organism in Eukaryota, Metazoa, Chordata, Mammalia, Carnivora, Ursidae. The record is from RefSeq and is a predicted model, not a curated record. The transcript is spliced from 3 exons.
AAAUCUUUAAAAAAAAAUACAACUGAGGAAAAAAAUUUCAUUUAUAAAAAGUAUAAAAUAUAUUGGAACAAGUUGAUUAAGAAACAUAUAGUAUUUAUAUGAAAAUAUGAACUUUAACUGAGAGAUUUAAGAUGUUCCUAGCUGGGAACAUCUUAUUAUAAAGAUGUUGAUUUGUUUGAAAAUACUUUCAGAAAUCAUUGCAAUCUUAAUGAAAAUUACAAUGGGGUUUCUCUCUUUGGGUGUGUAUUUGGGAAGGGAGGUUUGGUAGUUGAGAAAAAAUAUUUUAAAAUAUAUCUGAUAAAAUUAUGCAUGCUAGGCUAGUCAAAAAAUUAAAACAAACAAACAGAAAACAAACUACAGUUGUAAUGGGCCCAUGUGGAAGGAGGAAGCCUUUUCUCAGCAGAUACAGAGACAUACUAUAAAGCUACAGUAAUCAAAAACCGUGAAGUACCGGUACAAAAAUAAACAAACAGUAGAACAGAAUAGAAAAUCCCAGAAAAACCCAAAGUAGUAUAAUGGUGGCUUAGCACAUUAAUGGAAUGUGUGUGUGUAUGUGUGUUUGUGUAUAUAAAAUUCAAGAGAGUACAUGAAUUAUUCAAUAUACAGUUACACAAUAAUUAGUUAUUUGGGAAAAAAGUGAGCCAAAUCCUUAUUUCACAGCUCAUACUAAAGUUAAUUCCAGAUAGAAUUUAGCUAUAACUUAAAGUAGAAUAGAGCUUUUUAUGAAUGACAGGGGAAAAGCAAUCAAGAAAUAUGACUAUGUAAAUAUUUAAAACUUUUUAUAUGUGAAAACAAACAUAUUAGCAAACAGUUCUUUCCCUCCUGCUAAGGAAACUACAAAAUCUGGACAAAAUUUUAAGAGGAAAACAAAACAAAACAAAACAAAACAUUUAACUCCCCAGAGAGCUAACAAGUCCAGAAAAACCCAGAGAAGUAAGCUUUGCAUUUGGUAUGGCUUUUGCCCCAGAGGCAUCUGCCAGUUUUGGAAGUUAUAUGGGAGACUGAGAAGGUGAGCUGAGCCUUUGAAAGACUGUUGGAUUUAGGAGAGGGAAAGGAGGUCAACGCUGCCAAGGAGGGAAGUAUUGGUAAGUUCACAAGCUUUAGACUGGGACUCCAACUUAAAGGGCUACAAUCCAUGAAUAAGUGUGGGCCUGAAUAGAUGUUCCCCAGAAGGCACUGAAGCCCAGCUUCUAAUCAUAUCAUUUUGUGAUUGAAUUAAGAUAAUUCAGGGCUGCUGGUAUUCCUAGCCACUUGCCAGAAGCAAACAAAAUUCUCUGAAGAAAGGUUACAUCCCAGUCUCAAAUUAUCUGUACCAUUUUUCAUAUACAAUAUCUGACACUCAGUUAAGAAAAAACAGACACAUAAGGAAUCAAGAUAGCGUAGUGGGAAAUCCAAAGGAGCAACAGAGCAUAAGAAACCCAUAGGAAUCUUGAAAAUGGAGUUUUCAUACAUGGAUUUUAAAAUAAGUAUGAUUAAUAUAUUAAAGAUAAUAAAACAUGAGAUGUAUAAUGUUAAUAGAUAAAAGUAAAUUAUGAAAAGAUACAAAAUGGAAAUUCUAGAACAGAAAAAAGUAUCUACUGAGUCAGUAACCCAACUGGACAGGUUUAAGUGGGGCCAGAAACAUUGAAGAGAAAAUUAAUGAAGUGGAAGAUAGAUAUGAAAAAUAUACAGAAUAAAUCACAUAAAUAUGAAAUGAUUAAAACGCACACACACAGAAAGAGAGAGCUACACAGAGGACAAUAUAAGAGACACAGGGGAACUAGUGAGAAGUUCUAACCUAUCUGUUAACAGAGUCCACAAAAGGAAAAGAGAAAGAUAUUAAGGGAGAAACAAUGUUUGAGGAGACAAUGAAUGAUAAUUUUCUUUAAAAAAAAAAAAAUCUAUGAACCCAUGCUGGAUAAAUAACACAUUCUCCAAUAAACACCAAAGGAAAUUUUGCACCCCAAAAAAUACUAAUGCAUACUAUUCUGGGACAAGAAAAUUAUUCCAGAUGAAAACUUAAAGAUACAGGACAGGUUUAAGGGCCUCAGAAAUGAUAAAUAUUUAAUGUUGAUAUAGAAUUGCAAUAAUAAUAUCUCAUAAGGCUAAAUGUAUUACAAAUAACAUGUUAGGAUAAAAACAUUUAAAGAGUUCUAAGCUUCUUGCAUUGUCCAGGAAGAGGUAAAUUUCCUCAUUUAUCUUAGAUUACAAUAAGUCAUCUACACAUGUUGUAAUCUCUAGUGUAACAAAUCAUAGUAAGAGAAUGCAUAGCUACCGAGUUAAUAGGAGGAAAAAGAACUAUAAAAAACAAUCAACCAAAAGACAGGAAAGAAAGAAUACAAAACAGGUAGUACAGAUAAAAAGCAGAUGGCAAAAUGGUAGAACUAAACCCAAUCAUAUCAAUAAUUACAUUAAAUAUGAGUAAACUAAAUAUUGCAAUUAAAAGACCAAUAUUGUCAGACUGGAUUUUUUUUUUAAACAAGAACCAACUAUAUCUUACUUAUGAGAAAUACCUAAAAUAUACAGAAGAGGUUGAAGGUACAAGGAUGGAAAAGUUACAUUGUAGAAAAAAAUAACCAAAAGAAAACUAUUGUCACUAUAUUAUUAAGAGUAGGCCUAUGAAAAGUGAAGAAGAAAAAGUUGUUGGGGGUGGGGGGUGGAGAAAUAGAGAGACCAGGCAAACAGUGCAAGCAAUGUUUUCAAAGUAGCCUUCCUUUCUACAAGGGCAGCAGGCAGGGUGGUGUGAACGGGCUGGUGAAUGUGGAGCCUGUGUGCUAGGAACUAGUGCGAGAGAACACAGGAUUGGAAAGAGGAGUCCAGGUUAGGGAAAAGCCUGCAUAAUACUUUCAAUGGAUUUUUUUAUGUCAUAGAUUUGGACAUGGCUUUAAUCAAUGAGAAGCUGUUAGAUAUAUAGUUAGUGGUAAUGAAAAAUAAAAAUUUUAAACUUGUCACUAUCAACCCCUUUAACAGCCUUUAGUUUAUUGGAAUAAGUCUAUUAUCUAGCAUAAGUUUUAAAGUCUCCUUCAUCAACCACAGAUAGCAUGGGGGUGGUGGUUAGAACUCCGGCUCUGUAGAAUUUGCCUGCGGUGAAUUCUGUCCUCACAUUCUGCCUUCUCCACUUCUUCUUUGUAUGACCAUGGGCAGAGACUCUUAAUCUCUCUGUCUCUCUCUCUCUCUUUUUAAAUAUAAAAUGAAAAUAAUAGCACAUAACUAAUAGACUUGUGAGAAUUAAAUGAGUAAUGCACAUGAAAUAUGAGAACGGUGGCUGGAGCAUAGUAAGUAUUCAACAAAUAGCUGUUAUUUUUCAUAUUAUAAUUAUGACUUUUGUUUCGGAUAUCGUUUUGGUAUCUCAAUUAAAUGCUGAUGAAGUAAGCCUAAGGAUAAUAAGUCUAGUCUUUUUUUCUGGUCUUGCUCUGUCCUCAACUCUAAACCAGGAACCAAUUACUGUGUCAUGGGUCUGGUCUUUCCUGCCUGAAAUUGGCAAACGACAAAGAAUGAAGUCCUUCUAUGUGUGGUCCUCUGGUUGGCACUGGGAAUAUUCUCCAGUAAGAUAGGGCUGUGCACUUGAAGGAGCUCACAGACGUGUGAAUAAAGGAUUUCCACACAGUGGGAUAUGACUAAUAGGAAGAAGGAUGUAUUCCAGCACGUAGGAUGAAGACUGUGCUUUGGAAGCAGAGAAGGGGGAUAUUUUCUAGCUGGGGAAGAAGAGGAAAGCUUCAUAAUGGGCUUGGAGGAAGAGGCAGGAGAGGCUAUUCUGGGCACAAAGAACACAGGCAUAUAGAGGCAGGAUAGCAGGAAAGUACAAGGCAUGCUUGGGGAGUGGCUAAUUGCCCGCUGUCCCAGGUAUGUCAGGUGGACAGAAGGGAACAGCAUUUGCGAAAGCUGGAGAAGUAGACCAGAGUUGGGUUGUGACUGCUUUUCUAUGAAAUUUAGAAUGCUUCCAAAUUAUUUCAGAGGUAAAUCUUUUAUAGCAAGCUUUCAAAUAAAGUCAGACUUAAGGUAUAGUUAUGCUUUGUAGUUCAUAAAAGAAAUUCCAGUAUGAGUGUUCCCCAAAUGGCCAAAUAAACAUUGAUAGGAAUUUAGGAGGUAGAAAUAAAAUCAUUCUUUCCUAAACCAAGUUAUCUAUAUUAUGACCCAUUACGUGUGAACUUAUACUUGCUGAAUUGUUUAGUAAUGGUUAUACAAGCUACAACUAUAAUAACCAUGGUAAAGACAAUAGCAUGCGUACUGAUAGUAAUACCGUCUAACACUUAUUGAAAGAAUUCUAUGUGCCAGAAACUACUACAGAAUCUCUUAAUUCAUUAGUGUAUUAAAUGUAUAAUCCUCAUUGCACCUCUUUGAGACAAAGCUAUUAUUAUGUAUAUAAGAAAGCAUAUUGUAAACUAGAAAAAAACACUAUGCCAAUGAUAAUGGUAGGCUAUGUUGUCUAUGUGUACACUAGGCCUCAUCUGCCUUUUAUUUUCCUUCCAUGUUCAUCUUUUCUCUAGUUUUAUGCUACAGGCUGGAGGGAAGGGCAAGAGGAGAGAGAGAGAGAGAAAUGGGAAAGGCGAAAAUCUUUAGGAAAUUGUUAUUCCUAACGAAUGGCUGUUUGAGUUCUGUUUUUGUUUUUUAAACUCAUUUAGAGAGAAAAAAUAAAGACAGUUCUGUCAUGUAAAAAUAUUAUCCCAUCUUGCUGAUUUUGCGUAGGUUGACUGGUGGGUGCUGAAUUAGAGAUUCUGGAGGAUACGCUGGGUUUCAAGGAGGCUGAGAGUUUGUCUUCUGUAUCUGCCUGUCAGACUCAACUGUAAGCCUCAAAAUAUAAUAUCAUUCCCUCCCACUGAUUACAUUUGCACACGAUCAGUGAUCAGUGCCAGCUCAAGAGAGACACUAACUUUCCACCUAGGACUGUUUCCCCAGUUGUGGGAAAGAUAGGAUAAACAGUUGAGACUCUCUAAGUACCAUCAGGAAGAGGUCAGUGCACAGCUCUUAAGACUGGAAUUAAUUCCACAGGGAAAUUAUGAUGGAAUAAUCAAUUUAGAAACUUAAAGCUUGGAUCGAGAUUCAAAAAUUUUGAAAAGAAAACAAAAACCAAAACCCUUGCAGAAGUACGGAUCUGCUCAAGGUUCUUUUCAAUCCCUGACAACUGUGGGUCUAAGAUUUUCACAAAAUGAGAGGAAAGAAAUUAUGUGUAAUUUUCACAUCGGAACUAGGCUCUUUUUGCCCACUCCCUUCCAAAUUUCAGCUACUUAUCAUGUUGGCCAAAUCCUACAGUGAACGUCACUUCAGAACAAUCUGAAUGGGAAAACCACAGAGCCCUGCUUCUUUAAAAUUAGGCAUGAACAAAUCCAGAAUAAUGAGAGGAAGCAUAAAACAGAUUACGUUUUACCUAAAGUGGAAUUUAAGACAUGCCACAAGUAAUUGAUUCUCUUUCUAGGAUAAUUUAAGAACAAAGACUUGACUUUUUUUUUUUUUUAAGAUUUUAUUUACUUACUUGAGAGAGAGAGUGAGCAUGAGUAGGGGAUAGGCAGAGGGAGAAGCAGACUCCCCCAAAGCAGGGAGCCGAGGUGGGGCUCAAUCCCAGGGCCUUGAAGUUAUGACCUGAGCAAAAGUCAGAUGCUUAAUGACUGAGCCAACCAACCCCCCCAUUUGACUUUGUAAACGCAAUAACAGGUCGCUAUUCUGCAAAGCCAAAACAGUGAUGGUCUUUUCUGAUACGAUCCAUCUAGUUUUUUCCUUUUUGCCACCUUUGUAUUGCUUCCUCUAUUUUAGUGUCUGUCGCUCUUUCUUGCAAUUCUUAGUUUAUAAGCCUGCCUCCACUAUUAGGAGUUCCUCGAGAGCAGACACCUCUUCUUAUUUACUCUUAUAAAAGUUAUUCUCAAUAUUUGCCACUGUAUCAUGCAUGGAAGGCAGUCCUCCACUGCUUGUUGAAUUCAUGAAUGAAUGCAUACACGCCAUUAAUACAUUAAUUAAUAGCCGUCAAUAGUUAGAAGUCCUAGGUUCCAACUCCUUCCAUUAACUAAGUUCCUUUGAACUGUUGAUGUAAUGGUUCUUCAUUUAUAAAAGAUGACUUUGAAAAUUUCUUCCAGCAAACGUUUAUUUCUAUAACAAGAGAUUCAUAGCAUUUUUAUAAACUGUGAAGUGUGAAGCCUGUAUUACCAAUGAAUAAUUCGAGUUUUGACAUCUGACCACCAGCUUGGGGCAACCAGGCUACCAUGUAGUCUUUUAUCUCACUUUGCCGAAAAUUUCAAUUAUACUCUAUCCUGGUUUGUUUCGUGUCUUUUCCAAUGUUUUGUGCGGGGAGAAAAGUGAGUAAAAUAGUCAUCGUUUUGAGGAUAUUUGAGGCUGGAGAACUUUGUAGUGCUUGCUGCUAGGGGCUUCAUUUCUCUGACCUUCCUUGGCUUCCAUGCCAGCCUAAAAUAGCAACUCAAUCCCUGACCUGUGAUUCUACUAUAACUUAUGACAGUGAAGAGAAAAACAGUGGAAGAAGAGAAAUUAGGUUGGAUUUUCUGAGAAGAUUUUGAACCAUAGGUUGUUUUUUGGGUUACAUCUAUCUACUUAUUUUUAAAAUCAUCUAGAGUCUUGCAACUGUGUACAGACCAUAGCUUCUCUAGAAAUUUUCCAUGCUGUUGAAAAGCUUACAUAAUUGCUUAUGUGGCAAUUGCAAAAUCAUCCCUUGACGUGAACAGAAACCAGAGGAGAAGUGUCCUUCUCACCAUUUCUGGCUUUCCCUCCUGCGGGCUGGGGGAGGGGGGAAGUGGAGAUUAGCAGGAAGAUAGGAAGAGGGAGGAGUUUGUGGAAUGAGUGGGAAAGUCACUGAAGAGUUUAUAAACUGGCAGUGCGUGGAGGCAACCACAUCUGAGACGGUGGGGAAAAAAGUACCAUAAGCCCAAUCAUUUGCCCAUUUCAGCGGAGAAGGAGAUUGUCCAUUUUGUGUUUUGUUCUUCAUGUUUUGGAGAUUGAGGUCAAAGUAAGAACAGUGAAGUGCUCACAGUACUCGCUUUCCUAAUCGGUCGAUUGAAAAUCAACUACGCAGAAAAGCAGGAAGUGUACCACACAUGAGUUUAUGAAGAUCCUCUCUUAGCUGUCACUUCAGAGAGUUUUUUUCCUCCUUCAUUGUAAGAGAGCAGUGAAGGACCCAGUGAGAAAUUUGUUACCAGGAAUCAGUCCAUGAUGUGGGGGGGAGAGUUGGUGGUUUAUGAUCUAAAACCCAAGGCCAGAGAGAUUUUCCUAAAUCAUUGAAAGCCAGUUGAUGCCGGAGAAGAUAUUAAGCUGUUAGGGGGUUUCAGAGCUUUGAUGUUUCCCUAGAAAGUCUGGAAGCUGGAAAAGGAGAAGGCUCUAAAUCCCAGUCCGUGUGUGUGUGUGUGUGUGUGUGUGUGUGUUUGCUAAGCAAUUAUGCAAACACAAAGACAAAUGCAGUCCCUUUCUCUCCCCUCUCUCCUGGAUAUUUCUGCCAGCCCCCCCCCAGGCCAUCUCCUGUGCAAGCUCACGUCUGCAGGGUCUGCAGGUCCGGGCAGCUUGGCCUAUGUCAGACAAUAGAUAUGCAAGAUAACAACAGGGCAGCCACUCUGAGGCCUUGGCCUUUAUCAGGAUUAACUGUUACAUCAAUAAGCAAAACAGGGCGGCGGGGUUUUUCCAUCGCUGGCCUUUGCUGUUCCUGGGUGCCAGAUGGCAUUUAUAUCCAUGAAAACAAAAUGCUGCAAGUUAGAAUGUUGACUAGGCACUGUUACUUCCACUUGACCACACUGUGUGGGGCUCGCUUUGAUGUACAAAACACUCCUAAGAUAAUGAAAUGCGUUGGCAGCUGGCUAAUGGCUGGGAAAGUGCAAACCCUGCACUGAACUCUUCCCCGAGACUAUUCAAUGAACACAGAGUAGGUGCUGAAUGCCCCUCCCUGACCAUUUCUGAAGCUGGAGAAGUCUAGCUGGGUGGGAAGUUCUCCACAAUCCCGGUGUUUCCGUCACCUCUCCCUGGAAGAGUUACGCCCUCUGCCAGUCCACAAGUCAAGUUUGGACGCUUCUCUCAGCCCACAGAACUAUAUCUGCCCAUCCCACAGCUGGUGUCCGUGUUUCUGCUUGGAGCUCUGCCUUUGUCAAUUCAAACAGUGUGUUUUUCAAAAAAAAAAAAGUCAUUGACCACGUUUUUGUUUUCUCCUCAUCCUGUUUGUCAGGGGAUACUGGGUGUGUGGUCUCGAACUUCCUACUUACUGCACUUUGUCUUAGGGUGCUGGGACCUUCUUUUUGAACUCUGGUUUUCACAAGAUUGUUGGCCACAGCCAUUCUGGGUCUAUUAAACAUAGAAUCUUUCUUGGCCAAAAGUUACAGCGGUUGGCUCUACAUGAUAAAUUACGGUUACUGUUUGUUUCUUUGUACUUUUCUGUGUUUCCCAAGGGGAACAUGUAUUUCUUUUAUAUCAAUGAGAAAAAAGAGUAAAAAAAAGUCGUAAAAGUACCAGAGUAGUAGUAAUCUCUACUUACUGGUGAGUGUGUCUCAAUUCCUUCCUUUCUUCCAUCUCUUCUUGAAGUGCAUCCAGAUAUGUACAGACCGUAUGUAAAUCCAUGAAAUUAGAUAAAUCAACUCUUGUAAGUUAUGACUUCAUUUAAAAAAUAGGUAUGAGAGAUGAUGUCUAAGAAUGUGUUGUGUGUGUGUGUAUAUAUACAGAUAUAUACAAAAUAAAACAAAACCUAAACCAGAAACAACUAGACUUCCAGUUUCCGAGUCCAGGAUCUAAGGACAAUAAGUAAAAAGAUGAACAAACUGGAAAUCAAGACCUGGAGUGAUAUUCAUCGAAUUAUCAACAGGUCUCCCUGUUAAUAGCUUUAGCAGUAAUGCGUGCUUUUAUUUUAUGCUAAACUUGUUGGAUUGUUUUAAAUUUUUAAUUGUGAUGCUGUAAUAUAUUUGUAAUGAUAAAAAUACUUGAAAAUAAUGAAAAACUCCAAUCCCAUGUUUAUCUUCCACAGACCUUUGAAUAUCCAUUGUCCACACCUACAUCUGUUAUUAAUCAACCCCUUACUUCCCUACCCCCCCCCCCAUGGCAAAAGACCCUGACUCUUAGACCCUUAUAUCAACCUCCACGGAACAUUUAAAAAAUGCUAGUGUUCUGGCUCAUUUGGGAUGGGUAAAGGGAGUCAAACUUACUUUAUGGCUUCAGAUUUUGGGGUUAUGCAUAGAAAGGUUUUUUUUGCUCCAAUGUUUUAUAUAUAUAUGGUCUGCUAUGUUUUCUUUCUAAUACUUUGUUAUUUGUGUUUAUUGGACAAUUUUUAAUCCAUCUGGAAUUUAUUUGUGUGAAUUGUGAGGUAGGAAUCUGAUGUAGGAUGUUUUGACCCCACCAAAAUGCAAUCAACACAAUUAAGGCUGAGAAUUGCAGGUGCACAUGGUAAAAUAAGUUAUUAACUAGCUGCUUCCAGAAAAAUAAAUCUUCUUGACAAGUUUAUAUCUGCAGUAUUUGACUUGGGAAAAAUUUGACUUGAUAAAAACAGUGGUCAUAGGAGAAAACUCAGCGGUGGAAGCUUUACUUGAUAAGAAUUGAUAAGGAUAAAACAAUUUGCUAUUUUAAGAUUUACAUUAAAAAAGUGGCCUCAGUGAAAAUAAUUUUUGAUAUGGAAAUGAUGAUAAUUAGAGGAAUAUUUUCAUUAUGCUGUCUAGCCAAUUGGUCAAGGGAAAAUAAAAAUAGUUUAAUUCUAGCAUGUUUCUCAAGGAAAAUUCAUCAGUGUUGGUAAAAUUAUGAUUUAAAAAUUGUUUGAAUUGAUAAAACCAGAGUGAGAAGGUUCUUGGGGCUAAAUCAGUGAAGCAAAGAUUAUCUUUUACUUUGGAGAUCUUACUUUAUUUUUCUAAAUGGGUUGCUUAUUAUUCUGACAACAUUAAUGUAGGCAACUGAUCAAUUCUUACAACUGGUCUGAAAUGAACCUUUUUCAUUUACUGAAAUCUCAUACUUGGGUCUCUCUCUGGACUCUCUUAUUUCUUGGAUGUGCUUGCCUAAUCUGCACUGGUUUUAAUUAUUGUAGAUUUAAAGUAACUAGUUAAGUAUCCCCCAUUUGCCCCCCUUUAGAAUUGUUUUUCAACAUUUUCUUAGUUCUUCUCUCACGUUCAAGAACUUCAGCACCAGCUAGUUCAAUAGGCCAGAUUUUUAGUAACAAGCUGAAUAAUUAUAGACAUUUUACAUUUUAGUUGUAAUCUCCUACUUAUUUUUUUUAAUAUCUUGGCUCAAUUAUAUAUAUAUUUAUAUCUGUCUAUCUAAUCUUUAUGUAUCUAUAUCUGUACCUACAGAUAUAGCUGUAGAUAUCUGUGUGUAGAUAUCUGUUUGGAUUUUUAGCCUUUCACUUAAUUGAAUUUAUUUAUUUUUUUGGUUUUUGGAUUUUUUUCUUAUUUUGAGCCCUUAAAGAUCCUUUGCAGUUCAUUCCUUUUGAAGCUGAUUUCAGUUACUACAUCAUACUUUGUCCAUUAUCUGCUUAUUUCUAACAAUGGUAAGUCCUGAGAGCUUAUCAUUCCUGCAGCUCCAACACAAAAUCUUGGUUUUGGCACCUAUUUGGAAGUAAAAAUGGCAAAGGUUUAUUUAUUUUUUUUUCCUGAAAUUCAGUAUAUACACUCUGAGUGUUGAUGAAGGGGAAGAUGUUUAAGUGUCUUUGCUAGUGGGAUUUCCCUAUACCUUCUUUCUCUUUCCCAAAGAAUAAGACUCUAUUAUUUAUCCUGUCCUUUGCUGUGUCCUCUAAAUUCUUGGAUGAAAUUCACAAGGAGCUUUUAAAGUCUACCUCCUCUUUGAUGAGAGUUGGUGAUUUGAAUUUGCAUUGUAAUGUCCCUCCUAAGAGCAAAGCCUUAACCUUGACAAUGCUAUACUUUGCAAAUUUGAUACCAGAUAAUGGACAAUCCUUUGAAAUGCUGUCUCAUUCAUCUGCCACUUGUUUAUAGUUUGUUUGGGGGGUUAAUCAUGUGACCUUCGGGUUCUUCUUUUUUUUUUUUUUUUUUGCAAACUACUUUUUAUAUACAAGUCAUAUUCCAUGAAGGCAGAAAUUAAUUUCGAAUUCUAUCUUUAGUGUAUAAAGUAAUGCCUGGCAUAUAAUAGGCACUUCGUAAAUAUUGCUGGUUGACUGACUGGCCUACCUUUAUUUCCAAACACAGCAUUUGAAGAACUCUAGGUUAGAAUUAGCUAUUUGUCUGCCCCAGAGGUCAUUCUAGCAUAUCUGAAACAAAUCUGACAUCCCCAAAGCCUCUGACUCCUCUUAUUCCUAAACUCUAACAACGGUGUCCUCCUCAAAAUGUUUAAGCUCAACACUUUUCCAUCAUUUAAGAACUUCUUCCUUCUCUCUCUCCUCUAGCCCCCUUCACAUCCACAUGUAAUUCACGCCCAGAUUUGUUGAUUCUAUUUCACAGUGUCUCUAUAGCCAUUCAGCAAUUCCGGUUCUCUAACCUAGUUCAAGACCUUGCUCCCUAUCAACUUGGCUGUUAAGAUUUGCCCCGUAAUUAUUAUCCCUCCCUUAAGGGCUGUCCUUACUCCAUCACUUCACUAAAAUCCAUGUUAAUAUUGCCUGUAGAACACUCAUCCUUAAACAGGGCUGACCCCAUCACUAUGUGCCUAUGAUUUCUUGUUACCUAUAGACUACCGUUCAAACUCUCUAACCUGCUUUGCAUACUCUUCUGGAAUGUGAAGGGUCUCAAUCAUGAUUUCCGGUUUACUCUGCUUCAUGCUCUGCACCUUUUACUCCUGCCAAGGGAGUGUGCUGUCUUUCCCUGGAUGAACCCUGCAAUCUCCUUGCUGCUGAUCUUUGUCCCAUCUCACUGUGUUCUGGGCACACAGGCUCUUUUCAUUUGCUUGCCCUCCAUGACCUCUCCCGCUGCAGUCUUCACCAGCAGUACCUUGCCCUGCUUGUCUGCCAGCUGCACUUGGUUGUGUAACUGCCACUCCUUCCCCAGAUCUCACUCUAAAAUCCCUUCUCAGGGAGGCCCUCCACAGUCCCUCCCCCAGGCGCCUUCCCUGUUUCCAUAUAUUCAGUCCCAUUAAACACCGUCAGCUCUGGUACUCAAAGGUGCACAGUAUAUAAUUAUACACAUAUGUGUGGGGUCAUCUGAUUAAGGACAUCUCCCCCACUUGAUUCUAAACUCCGCGAAUGAAGAGCUCUGGCCCACCUUGCUCCCCGCUGUGUCCCCUGCCACAGGCAUUGGAGCAUACUAAAUACCUAAGGAAUGAACGCAUCAAUGUCUACGAAAGACUUGGCUGUGUUCCUUACCCCAUCUCCUCUUGGAAACUGCCCAACACCCCCAUUUUGAAUUUCUCUCUCUCUUUCCUUUAAUCCCUACACACUUACCCCUCGUCCCGUAGGUGGUAGUUCCUACGGGGUAGUCAUGUCAUCCACACCAUAGCUCCCCCUAGGAAGCCAGGAGGAGGGUCUGGUUUAUGUCUAAGGAUGAGCGCUAAUACUAAAAACUUAGGCUUUGAGGGCGCCUGGGUGGCUCAGUCAGUUAAGAAUCCAACUCUUGAUUUUAGCUCACAUCAUGAUUUCAGGGUCGUGAGAUUGAGCCCCAUGUUGGCUUCCCCACGGAGCACGGAGCUUGCUUAAGAGUCUCUCUCCCCCACCCCGCCCCACCCCCCACGUGCACUCUCACUCUCAAAAAAAAAAAAAGUUAAGGCUUUGUUUAUAGGAGUAACAAAGGUUGGCAAAAGUUGAAAUGGUUAAAUUUGAAAUGUUUGGAGUAUUAUGUCACGCUUCCAGUGCACCCCAGAGGUUCAGUCAGAAGCUCACCUGAGCCAGUGUGCUCUGAUUAUACCUUAAUCUUAGCCAGUGAAUUCACAGAUGCGUGAGGGUGUUAAGUAGGGAGGCUGGGAUAGGAUAUGGGAUGAGUUCAGUGGGAAUCCACACCCACUAGUAGAAAUCCAUGCCCUAGUGCUGGUGGGUUAAUAAUACCUUCUUACAUUCUUAUUCGGUCUUCUUUUGCACACUUCACUCAAUAAUCUUGUUAAUAAAUUCUAGCAGAUAAUGAUAAUAAGGAAAUAAUGGUUAACUAAUCUGUGUUUAUCCUGUCAACUGCACCUUAGCUGAGGACAUAAACCCACAUGGAAAAAUUUGGCCUUUGUCUAUUUAAAUCUCUUACAAAAGAAAAGUAGUGCUUGAGUUUUACCAAGGCUGUAGGUUUAUUGCUCUUAAUUCUACUCACAACAAAAUGAGUUGUCCUUCAACCUGGUUUUGCCAAGUAUUUGAGUUGGAUGAAUAGAUGGUCUAAAAACCAUCAAAAAGUGUUCAAAAAUUGAUGUAGCACGAUUAGCUCUGGACUGCCACAGAGGGUUUGGAGGAUUUCCAGGGGCCUAUUUGUUAAUUUGAAGUCCUAGGAAAGAACAGGGGAAGGAACAGGAAAAGCUGUGCUUGUACCCUGGCCUGGAGCUACCGAGGAGGGCAAUAUUAAUGGCAACUUGCAGGGGUGCAUCCUGGGCAUUUUCUUAUCCUAGAGAAGUGUAGUUUUCAGAACAGAAAAUAUACUCAUUUUUCUUUCUUGCUCUUGAAGAUUGUGAGAAAAUUCCUAAGAGAUAUUCUUGGAAGAGUCAGAAAGGUAUUAUUCUGAUCUCUAUGGGUGCUCAGAGAUGUAAAGGACUCAAUCUUGAUAACACAGCACCCAGUGUGUUUCUUAAUUGUUCCUUUGAUGAAGAGAGGACUUUCCUGAAAGAUAUGAGCCAGAAGAAGAAGUCCAACUUCAGUGCUCUAGAAGAAACAGCUGGGUCUUCGGGGUUUCGGGUAACCUGCUCAGUGGCAGUCAGGAUCUAUAGAUCAGGGAGACAGUGAUAUCACUGUCAGGUUCUGAGACUUUUGUAAUUUGUCUGUGUUUGUCACUGUGGUCAUUGCCUGUCCCCGUUUUGACUACCAGCAAAAUGCUUGAAAUGAAAAUCAUUUCUGGACAAGGUCUUAGAUAUGGUGAAUUCAUUCAUUCACUCAACCAAUUUUUAUGGAGUGUUUACUCUAUGCCAGGGUCUCCUCCAGAGCCUGAAAAUACAGCAGUAGACAGAGCAGAGCUUGUGCCUUCACUGAGCAAACAUUUUAGUGAAAAGACAGACAAUGAAGGGAGUAAAUAAAAUCUAGAAAGUAUUAGACACUAACAGGUACUACAGAGGGGAAAAAGGGGGGAAGAGGAUAGAAGACAUUGAAGGUGGGGGUUGCAGUUUUAAAUAUGGUAGUCAAGAAAUAUUUAAUUGAGAAGGUGACAUAAGUAAAGAUUUGAAAGAGGGGUUACAGCUAACUGUGUGGUUAUCUAGGGGAAGAGUGUUCCAGGCAAAGGAAUACAAAGUUUAAAGGUGAUUUCUGAAACUAGGUUAGAAAAGGAUUUUAUUGGCUCAAUGUCUCUGAAAACUCAAGGACUCUGGCUGGCUUCAGGCAUGGCUUGAUAAAGGGAUGAGGAAAACAUUUUUUUUUCCUGAUCUUUCUAUAUAUUGGUUUCAUUCUUACAUAGUUUGGCCUUUUGUGGCUGUAAGAGAGCUACGGUGUUUCCAGUUCCCAUAUCCUGCACUUCAACUCCAUAGGAAGAGUCAAGGGCUUUGUCUCAGUAUUACUGGCAAAAAUCUCAUUUUGUCUCUUUUACUCUGAGUGGGUCACUGCCCAUUUCUGAACCCACUGUUAUGAUCAGAGUAAAUACUGUGUGCUGAUUGCUUUAUGCUUGUGUCACUUGCUACGCUGGAAUGGCAUAGACUGAGAAAGUAUGUUUGUGCCUGGUUUGGUUUGGUUUGGUUUUCGGUUUUGGGGUGUUUUUUUGUUGUUUUGUUUUGUUUUGGUGAGGGGAAGGGGGAAUUCCCCUAAAGAAAAUUGGGGAACCAAGAGAAGGAUUAAUGGAUUUUAGAUAGCAAAAACAGCAAAUGUCCUUUAUACCAUAUCUCUUUCGCUUAAAUAAAAUCCUUGAUAGAGUUAGAGCCAUCACAAACUUUCUGGGGUAAGUCACUUCAUCUCUAUUGAACAUUUUUUUUUUUUUAAUCUAAAAUGAGGAGGUUGUAAGGCCACAUUGUAAUUUAUGCUCUAUAGCUAAGUAUAUUUUCUGAAGUCUGAAAUUUAAAAAAAAAGUUCAUUAUAUUAUGAUAUUACAAAUAUAAUCUGCUGAAGGAAAGUAGAAAGUGAGCAUUUAGCCUGUAUUCUGGAGAUUGCUAUUUGGCAUAAGGGCCUGCAUGAGUCCUUGAGUAUAGGCCCUUAAAUGCAAGUUUUUGAAGAGCUGAUGUGAUCAAUCCCAGAUGCCUUUGUCCUGUGAUUUACUGUUUACUUGGUGAGCUGUAGGAAGAGAGAGAAGGAAGAGGGUGGAUCAGGGUUAUGUGCUGGGUCAAUUUCUAGCCUGGAGUUGGGUGACUUGGUUGAAAGGCCAGCUCAGGGGGCGUUAACACAGAUUUCCAUAUUCAAAACAGAGUGGAGAGUCUAAGCACCCUUCUGUAAGCCUCUGUGACAUUAAGACAAUGGCAUUAAGAUAAAAACUCUCCCAAGGGUAGAAGACUCUUGGGAUUCGACUUUCAGGAUUGCAGAGUCCUUCUUUAGCGCUGGAUUGAGAGGAAACUGGCUGAAGGAAAUGGCCCUUCUCCAUGCAGGAUCUUGAGGCUUCGAUUCUCCCAAUAGCAGUAAGGGACUUCCGUAAGUGUUUUGCCUGUGUUUAAUAUCAGAGCUCCACAUUUUAUAUUAAAUUUAUGACUAUGUGGGUCUGACAUUUGGCAUUGUGUAAGAGGGACAAGUAUCUCCUCAAGCUUCCCGUGUGAUUCGGGCAAUACCUAAAAUCCCUUCAUGAAUGGUUUCCAUGUGUCAGGAAUAAUGCAUUCAGGUCACCAGACCUGUCUCUGUGAAUAUUCCCUUGGAAAUUUCCAUGCUCUUUAGUGUGGUGCACAAAGCCCACAUCAGACCCAGGAUUUCCUUCUUCUUCUAUGACAGAUUCAGGGAUUUAUGUACUCUUGGCUUCCCCAAAUCACAAAAAAUCCCUAUCCAGUCUCAAUAGGUCUUUACAGUCUGAUGAAAACCAUUUUCCUUUCUUUUUUCUUUUUUCCCUUUCCUUGUUUUUUCUUUAUUGAAGUAUAAAAAGACCAUUUGCUUUUCUCCAGUCAUCCUUUCUUUGAAGUUGGAAGAGCAUACUUCAGGAGGACAUGGGGCCCCUGAAACUUCCUCCCCACCCAUCCGAAAUACUCUUCCUUACUGUGGAUUUUACGUGGUUGAUUCAUCACAAUAUUUGUCUCUGAAAUAUUUUCCUAAAAUAAAAUAUAUGUAAUAAUCUA